UUCUUUCUCUACAUCUGUUUCAGAGAUGAUGGUGUCUGCAGUCUGGGAAGCUGCUGUCCCUGAGGUCCUGGGGAUUGAACUCAGGUAGUCAGGAUUGGCAGCAAGUGCCUUUAUCGGCUGAGCCACCACACUGCUCUCCACCCCAAGCCAGUUGUCAUUUACAAUUACAUAAAAAGAUGUUAUGUGAAGGGAUAAGCAGAGAAAAAAAAGGUAUGCAGAAGUUGCUCAAUGAUGGCAACAGCUGCUAUUACUGUUACUGAAGUUCUUACUGUCACAGCAGGAAAGGAGGAGACAUUACCUCUGGACUGCCACCAUCUUCAUACUAAGGCAUCCUGUCAUGAACAACCUUGAUCAACAGUCCCAUGAGGGCCUCAAGUUUCAGUUAUGCUAGCUUGUAAGUCUGAUGGGACUCCAUUCGUGACCUCCUUAGAUGGCUUCUCCUGGAGUUUAGAUUCCAGAUAUGAUUUUCAACCACUGGGGGAAAUCUUUUAGUUUCCUAAACUUCAUUUUGCCUGUGCUAGAUGAGAGUUGAACUAUGUGUCAAUCAAAACUAAGAGGUGGAGCCAUUUGAAUCUCUGAAUGACCCCCACUGGUGGCUCCUCUCUUUCCUUGCACACACUUCUGACUAACACACACUCAUUUUCUCUGUUGCUCUUUUUGUAAUUAAUAACUUGAUGUGGGGACUACACAAGUAGGAAGCCACUGCUUUUUUGUCUUCCU
Molecule: long non-coding RNA, 720 nt
Filed under: Mus spretus (western wild mouse)
Lineage: Eukaryota; Metazoa; Chordata; Mammalia; Rodentia; Muridae
Description: predicted gene 13660 (ENSMSPG00010023701.1)
Source: RNAcentral